Long non-coding RNA from Cyprinus carpio carpio, 3463 nucleotides. The record is from Ensembl. Lineage: Eukaryota; Metazoa; Chordata; Actinopteri; Cypriniformes; Cyprinidae.
GUAAAAAUGAAAUGCUUUCGUUGUACAUUUCAACAACAGUGUGGUUCAUGACACUACACAAUGCAGACUCCAUGUGUUUCUUGUGAUGUGAACGAUUGCAACGAAUAAGGUAUCUGCCACGUUUCCUGUUUGUAACCGAAAACGUCGAAAGACGAUAAAAAUAGCAGCAACACUUGUGCACUUCUUGCUGAACAUGGUCACGUACAGGUGAAAGGUUUUAUCAGACAAGGAUUUAUUGGACAUUUGACACUAUUAAAUCAUGGGGACAGUAACAUCUCAGUGUGCAAGUCAACAUGUUGCUAUUGGUCUGACAUCGAUUGCACUGCUGAUAUCUGUGUGCUUAAAUGUUGCAUUCUAUUUAAUAAGAAGAAAGGGAAAAAAAUAUGCAGUUAAUGAAAACAUGUUGGAAUAUGAAGAUGAGCCAUUACAUCAAGAUUCACUUCGGUCUUACAGGUUUGAGGAUGAUGAGAUGGAAAGACAAGAAAAUCCGAUUUAUGGAAAUAUAUGUUUAGAGGGAGGAGGAGCUUUUGAAAUCUCUCAGGAGGUGUGCUAUGAACAAAUGUCACAUGCAAACACAGCAAAGCAGGGAUUAAAGGUCCAGCCAGGGGACGUGUCCUAUGCCUCUCUUGAUCUGACUGCCAAUAAAAAGCGUAGGAAGAAGAGAAAAUACCAAAAACAGGCUCAGACUCACCAGGCCCAGACACAUCCUCAACCUGCAUCCCAGCAGAUCUGCAUGGACCAGGAUGACGAGCCUGAUGUCACCCUCCCGUCCCGGAGCAGCAGCCUCCUGAUUUCACGUCACAGCAUCUACCUCAACAGUCAUCAAGUAGCCCUGGAGGCAGAAGAGAGGGAGAGGGAGAGGGAGAGAGAGAGGGAGAGAGAGAUGGAAAUUGAAAGAGAAAGAGAAAGAGAUGAUAAUGUAGAGAGAGAGUUUGAUAUGCACAGAAAUGUGCAUGAAGGCUUUGAUCACUCCCUCGGUAGAUCAAGACAAAGUCUAAAACUGGACAGUUAACAGUUAGAAAGUAAAAAAAAAACAACAACAAAAAAAACUUUAGCGUCUUACUUGUAAAAACACAGGAUACUGUAGGGUGGGGCUGUCAGCGACUGUGAUAUUUUAAGCUCAUCUCUACCCCAAAUCAUAAUUUCUGUGCAUUCAAAAGCAUGCAGAGGAGACCAGCUAUCUGAUCUUGUGUCCAAUCGAGACACAUAUAAAGGAGUUCACCACUUUAAAUCUGCUUUCUUGUUUCUUGCAUUUGAAGGUUGGUCUGUUUGUUGUACUUAUAAGAAGAAUAUAUUAACAAAUAUUUAUCUGCUUACUUUUAUGUUUUUUUUUUUUUAGAUUUUCAGGAUAACAGGCUAUAAAUGCAUAUUUGUGCAAAUAAGGUUGACUCAAGUCAUUUGAUGUAGAUACAGUAUGCACAGAAUAAUAAGGACAGUUUCAUAGCUAUUAUUCAGAGUUGUUGUAAUAUUUUUGUGGCUUUGUCUUGAUAUUAAAUGUCUUGGUGACUCUAUUUUUGUAUCUGUAAUUCUUUGUUUAAAAAGCUUUGAAGAAUGUCUGAAGAUGCAAAAAAUUACCACAAAAUUUAUCAAAUAUUUAUGCCAACUAUGAAAAAUUCUCAGUUUGCUUUGCUAGAACCUGUCAGAUGAAAGAAAAAAUAGUGAGACAUACUGCAAAAGCUUUAUUACACUCCUUAACCACUUUUGUUAAUAAAAAGAAAAGAAGAAAAAAGAAAGUAAAAAGUCUUCAUUCACGUACAGAGACGACAGACAGGAAAAAUGCAACACUACAGUAGCGAGGAGAGGACUUUUUGCACAUUUCCGCCGCAACUAAUCGUGACGUUUGCUCUCGUAGUCACGUGGUUGUUAACAUGGCGGCGCGCUGUUGAAAGUCAUGCGAUAGCUCUUGGAUAUCAUUUCUUAUUUUCGUCUUUUUCAAUUGUAAUUUAUUUGCAGUUAUAUAAACGUUUGUCUUGAUAUAUACUGCCAACAAAAUUGUCAUGGACCCCGCCGGACAGCUACGAAAUUUGCGGGACUUCCUCCUCGUUUACAAUCGCAUGACGGAAAUCUGCUUCCAGCGAUGCACAAGCAAUUUCAACUACAGAAAUCUGACGAUGGAUGAGGAGCGAUGUGCUGACAGUUGUGCUGGCAAAUUAAUAAGGACCAAUCACCGUUUAAUGGGCACGUAUGUGCAGCUGAUGCCCGCGAUGGUGCAGAAGCGAAUGCAGGAGAUGGAGAGCAAAGCUGCAGAAUUAGCAAAAGCUGAAGCUGCAGCACAAGGAGGUGCUUCAUCAUUAGAAAAUCCAUCUACUGCCAUCACAGCAACAACACCAAUGCUUGAGAGCCCACAGAUACCUCCAGUUUCUAAUAAUCUAUCAGAUAUGAAGACUAAUGUCUUAGCUUUUGGACACACACAAUCAUUGACAGAUGUGCCCACAGUACCAAACAAUUCACAAACCUUUACAAAUGAGUCUUUAGAAGGACUAGUAGCACCAUCACCAGAGAUCUCAGCAUCUUCUUGUGUACCUAAAGUAGAUGGAGGUCCCGUCUUGAGUGCAGUAGAACAACCCAAUGUGAAGCCCAGCAGUGUAACAACCACCGCAAUCCCUGAAACACGGUCUGAAUGGGGAGCAGGACAAAGCCCCCAAAAUCCAUCUUGAUCUGUGUCUUUUAAUAAAAGUGCAUCAUGGAAAGAUAAUUUAUUUGACUUCUUUAUUCAUUAUUAAAUCUGUAUGUGGUAUUUUUACAGUAGGAAAAUAUUUAUUUGAUCCCCUGCUGAUUUUGUACAAAGAAAUGAAGGGUCUGUAAUUGUAGGUUUAUUUUGACAGAUAGAGACAGAAUACCAACCAAAAAAUUCAAAAAACACAUUAUAUAAAAUGUACUGUAAAAUCUUGGACGAGAACCUCCUUCGCUCAGCCAGAACACUGAAGAUAGGUCAUGGAUGGGUCUUCCAGCAUGAGAAUGACCCGAAACAUACUGCCAAGGCAACAAAGGAGUGGCUCAAGAAGAAGCACAUUAAGGUCAUGGAGUGGCCUAGCAAGGGUUUCUGCACCAAGUCAUGUUUUUCUUGGGGAUCAAAUACUUUUUUCACUCAAUGAAAUGCAAAUCAAUUUCUAACCUUUAUAUAAUGUGUUUUUUUCUGGAUUUUUUGGUUGGUAUUCUGUCUCUAUACAUUAAAAUAAACUUACGAUAAAAAUUACAGACCCUUCAUUUUUUUGUAAGUGGGCAAACUUACAAAAUCAGCAGCGGAUCAAACAAAUAUUUUACCCACUGUAUGAUGUGUUUUGUGUAAUUAAAGAGAUAUGAGUAAAAAUGUUAUUAGAAAUUUUUUAUUAGAUAAUUCUUAUUAUCCACACUGACAAUUUUUUGUGUUCUUUUUUGUUAUCUUAAAGCUAUGUCUGUUCAAGCAGUUUUUUUUUAUCACAUUACAUACUUAUAUGAAUAUUAUAUAUUUAUUUUACACAUA